This 28-nucleotide small RNA is filed under the name Bombyx mori (domestic silkworm). RNAcentral's name for it is "ovarian small RNA-9581". The record is from RNAcentral. Lineage: Eukaryota; Metazoa; Arthropoda; Insecta; Lepidoptera; Bombycidae.
UUCCGAAGUGAGCUCUUGCCUUGAUAAA